GGCUGGAACAAGACUGUGAGUUGUUGCGAGUGGGAAGGCGUGGAUUGUUCCUCACAACAAGGCCGAGUCAUAGGGCUCCAUCUUCAAUCUUUAACACUACCAAGUUCCGAUUUACUGAUAUUGACAAUCCAGAUGCUGUCUCACCUCCGUCAGCUGCACGUCUCAAGGAGCCAAUUUGCAGAACCAUUGAGCAGCAAUUUAAGUUUGCCAGGCUGUGAUUUGGAGAGCUUGUGCUCCACUGCAAAAACUCAUUACGGCUGCUAAAUCUCUCCCAUAACCAGCUUGAUGGUGAACUUGGAUCCAAUUCUGUGAUUGGCAGGACACUGGAGACACUCGACCUUUCAAACAACAACGUCAAUGGCACAGUUCCAUCCUCCCUAUUCCAAAGUUGUAACAGCCUGCACUACUUCAAUCUUUCAAACAAUGAAUUUGCUGGAAGUGUUCCAGCGCAGAUGGUUACCCACUGCCCCGUUCUAGAGGAUGUCAAUCUAGCAAGCAACAACUUUUUCGAGGCA
Molecule: long non-coding RNA, 515 nt
Organism: Selaginella moellendorffii
Lineage: Eukaryota; Viridiplantae; Streptophyta; Lycopodiopsida; Selaginellales; Selaginellaceae
Exons: 2
Source: RefSeq, a predicted model, not a curated record